UAGUGACGAUCACUAAUUUGUCCCUGUGUACACACACACACACCCACACCGCAGUCCCAGACUCGGUAGAUGUUGCAAUAGUCCAAAAGUCAGGGGAGCGUGAACGGGAAGUCGACACAGCGCACGCAUCGAGUCACGCGUCUAUUAUUUUCUCCUGUAUUUUAUGUUUUUAUAUGUGUGUGUGUAUACGUUACGUAGAGAGAGCCUUGGUAACUACCAACGACAGUUGCUCUACCCUUGGUCGACGCCAGGUGGUCCGAGGAGAAGAAAAAUACUGGGCAGAGAAACCAUCCAAAGCCUCCUUCUCUUUUCUGCUCAUAUCUUUUAACAGACUACGACUCUUGUUGCCCAGUGUGUAGCGUGACUCAGCCGUGGCGAGUAACCGGCGUCAGCAGCAGCCCCCCAAAACAUUUCGGUCGUGUGAACUAAUCGCAUCUUUCAAUCAAAAAUAAACGUUUCAUUGUUAUUUGUCGGAUUUCGACGGAAUGGCACGCGACGACUAAAAAGAAGAAUCCUCUCAACUGCUUUCCUUGGUAACUUUGGGAAAUGAUCCCAGCAGGACGACGACUAUCGACGCUAUUCUGAAGAUCCUGGAGAUUAUUCGGAAUCCAUGGAACUUGGAAUCGUCUUUCUCUGUAAGUUAAUUCUCGUUUGUCUUGAACACUCUGAAGAAAACAUUUUGCGGGUAGAAAACUUUCAACGAUCUCUGCUUACCGUCCGAAACUUUUUAUUAUUAAACUUGGAAAAAUUUUAUAAGGCAAUGAUGAAAUUUUUUCUUUAUUGUCUGUGGGGUGUUUCCGCCGGAAAAACGAUUUCGGCUCGCUUGAAAAGAUCCAUGCUUUGGCACGUUGCCGAAUUUCAUAUCGUCAACGUAAUGGAAAGUGGGAACAAAUAAGAACCAAAUACGAAGUAGUUUUUUUGUUUUUGAAAAAAAAUAUAAGCCUAUCAUUCAGCAAAAGGAUUUAGACUGUCAUUAUAAUCGUCGUGGUCGUCGUCACCGAAAGGAUUGGUAGGUUCCUCAUCCGCAAAAGGAUUUUUCGUUUCGUCAUAAUUAUCAUCCUUAAACGGAUUUUCCGGUCCAACUGAAAUUUUAUUCGCGCCAGUUUUACUUGGAGGUAAUUUGUUAACCUCCUGUUUUCUGAGUGACGUACUGAGGUCAGAUACUGCAGGAACUGCUCUCGUUCCUACAUAGUUUGGUACACUCGUGGCUGACUGCGAAGCCACCGUUUGACGGGGAAUUUCAACGGACGCAGUUUGAUAAUUUUUCUUUGUGGUUCCUUCCUGAAGUCGGUGUCUUGCUUCGGAGGUUGUGGUUGCCGCUGCGCUCGAUGCAACUCGUUCCGCUGCUCCAAUGACUUCAGCAUUUCGCAAUCGACCUUCAGUCACAUCUCUAGUAGGCCGAACCGACGCACUUUCCUGCAAUCUCAUACGACCUUCAUUUGCGAAUCCUAACAAUGAGGAAGAAAAAAACGAGUCAGUCUUGGGAUUUUGUGAAAACUGGGAAUGCUGAUAUCGCAGUAUAAUCAACCAAAACCGAAACGAUAGCAUAGAUUAAUAUAGAACUGUAUUCUGCUUAACGAAACAAAGAAAAAUUAUCUAUAAACAAAUUCCACUUAGAUAAUCACCUGUAGAACUUAUAGUGUUCUUUCCUUCAUUCUUACGCAGCUUUGCUUCAGAACCGGGACCAGCAUUCUGAGGACCCCAGGACACGGAUGGCAAUUCACUGCGAACUCCUUGGUGACCGGAAAUGGCUGACUCCCAGGAUGGCAAACUAUUGAAGACCCCACGACCAAAGUAAUCGGCAAGUACGGUGAAAGGGUCAUCUGCUUUUUCCAAUUGCCCAUGAAAGGCUUCGUGAAGAUCUUUGCUUUGUUCCUAUUUGUUUCGUAGCGUAAAGGAAAAUGAGAAAUGCAAAAUAAAACUUUCACAAUUGCUCAAAGCUUACCUGCGCCCGAACGAUAUCCAAAAUCCUUUUAUUUUCUGUGUGACAUGCUGGGCAUUCGUUUUCGUUGUCGGCAUAACUAUCGAAGCAACUAAUAAAGCAUCGUAAAAAGAUUA
Daphnia pulex (common water flea) is the source of this 2058-nucleotide long non-coding RNA. RefSeq lists it as uncharacterized. The transcript is spliced from 2 exons. The record is from RefSeq and is a predicted model, not a curated record. Lineage: Eukaryota; Metazoa; Arthropoda; Branchiopoda; Diplostraca; Daphniidae.